This 431-nucleotide ribosomal RNA is filed under the name uncultured bacterium. RNAcentral's name for it is "bacterial SSU rRNA". It matches the Rfam family "Bacterial small subunit ribosomal RNA", at positions 335 to 784 of the family's 1533-position model. The record is from RNAcentral.
ACUCCUACGGGAGGCAGCAGUAGGGAAUCUUGCGCAAUGGGCGAAAGCCUGACGCAGCAACGCCGCGUGGGGGAUGAAGGCCCUCGGGUUGUAAACCCCUUUCAGCAGGGACGAAAAUGACGGUACCUGCAGAAGAAGCCCCGGCCAACUACGUGCCAGCAGCCGCGGUAAUACGUAGGGGCGAGCGUUGUCCGGAUUUAUUGGGCGUAAAGAGCUCGUAGGCGGUUCAGUAAGUCAGGUGUGAAAACCCGGGGCUCAACCCCGGCCGCCACCUGAUACUGCUGUGACUAGAGUCUGGUAGAGGAGCGUGGAAUUCCCGGUGUAGCGGUGAAAUGCGCAGAUAUCGGGAGGAACACCAGCGGCGAAGGCGGCGCUCUGGGCCAGAACUGACGCUGAGGAGCGAAAGCGUGGGUAGCGAACAGGAUUAGAUA